CAAGAUUAGCCAUGCAUGUCUAAGUAUAAGCAAUUAUACAGCGAAACUGCGAAUGGCUCAUUAUAUAAGUUAUCGUUUAUUUGAUAGUACCUUACUACUUGGAUAACCGUGGUAAUUCUAGAGCUAAUACAUGCUGAAAAUCCCGACUUCGGAAGGGAUGUAUUUAUUAGAUUAAAAACCAAUGCCCUCUGGGCUCCUUGGUGAUUCAUAAUAACUUUUCGAAUCGCACGGCCUUGCGCCGGCGAUGGUUCAUUCAAAUUUCUUCCCUAUCAACUUUCGAUGUUUGGGUAUUGGCCAAACAUGGUCGCAACGGGUAACGGAGGGUUAGGGCUCGACCCCGGAGAAGGAGCCUGAGAAACGGCUACUACAUCCAAGGAAGGCAGCAGGCGCGCAAAUUACCCAAUCCCGAUUCGGGGAGGUAGUGACAAUAAAUACUGAUACAGGGCUCUUUUGGGUCUUGUAAUUGGAAUGAGUACAAUUUAAAUCUCUUAACGAGGAACAAUUGGAGGGCAAGUCUGGUGCCAGCAGCCGCGGUAAUUCCAGCUCCAAUAGCGUAUAUUAAAGUUGUUGUGGUUAAAAAGCUCGUAGUUGAACCUUGGGCCUGGCUGGCCGGUCCGCCUCACCGCGUGUACUGGUCCGGCCGGGCCUUUCCCUCUGUGGAACCUCAUGCCCUUCACUGGGUGUGGCGGGGAAACAGGACUUUUACUUUGAAAAAAUUAGAGUGCUCCAGGCAGGCCUAUGCUCGAAUACAUUAGCAUGGAAUAAUAAAAUAGGACGUGUGGUUCUAUUUUGUUGGUUUCUAGGACCGCCGUAAUGAUUAAUAGGGACAGUCGGGGGCAUCAGUAUUCAAUUGUCAGAGGUGAAAUUCUUGGAUUUAUUGAAGACUAACUACUGCGAAAGCAUUUGCCAAGGAUGUUUUCAUUAAUCAGGAACGAAAGUUAGGGGAUCGAAGACGAUCAGAUACCGUCGUAGUCUUAACCAUAAACUAUGCCGACUAGGGAUCGGACGAUGUUAUUUUUUGACGCGUUCGGCACCUUACGAGAAAUCAAAGUGCUUGGGCUCCAGGGGGAAUAUGGUCGCAAGGUGAAUAG
RNAcentral lists this ribosomal RNA (1091 nucleotides) under Beauveria pseudobassiana. Its description in RNAcentral is "SSU rRNA". It matches the Rfam family "Eukaryotic small subunit ribosomal RNA", at positions 39 to 1143 of the family's 1831-position model. Lineage: Eukaryota; Fungi; Ascomycota; Sordariomycetes; Hypocreales; Cordycipitaceae. The record is from RNAcentral.